This 946-nucleotide ribosomal RNA is filed under the name Enterococcus faecium. Its description in RNAcentral is "bacterial SSU rRNA". It matches the Rfam family "Bacterial small subunit ribosomal RNA", at positions 8 to 939 of the family's 1533-position model. Lineage: Bacteria; Bacillati; Bacillota; Bacilli; Lactobacillales; Enterococcaceae. The record is from RNAcentral.
AGAGUUUGAUCCUGGCUCAGGACGAACGCUGGCGGCGUGCCUAAUACAUGCAAGUCGUACGCUUCUUUUUCCACCGGAAAAAGAGGAGUGGCGAACGGGUGAGUAACACGUGGGUAACCUGCCCAUCAGAAGGGGAUAACACUUGGAAACAGGUGCUAAUACCGUAUAACAAUCGAAACCGCAUGGUUUUGAUUUGAAAGGCGCUUUCGGGUGUCGCUGAUGGAUGGACCCGCGGUGCAUUAGCUAGUUGGUGAGGUAACGGCUCACCAAGGCCACGAUGCAUAGCCGACCUGAGAGGGUGAUCGGCCACAUUGGGACUGAGACACGGCCCAAACUCCUACGGGAGGCAGCAGUAGGGAAUCUUCGGCAAUGGACGAAAGUCUGACCGAGCAACGCCGCGUGAGUGAAGAAGGUUUUCGGAUCGUAAAACUCUGUUGUUAGAGAAGAACAAGGAUGAGAGUAACUGUUCAUCCCUUGACGGUAUCUAACCAGAAAGCCACGGCUAACUACGUGCCAGCAGCCGCGGUAAUACGUAGGUGGCAAGCGUUGUCCGGAUUUAUUGGGCGUAAAGCGAGCGCAGGCGGUUUCUUAAGUCUGAUGUGAAAGCCCCCGGCUCAACCGGGGAGGGUCAUUGGAAACUGGGAGACUUGAGUGCAGAAGAGGAGAGUGGAAUUCCAUGUGUAGCGGUGAAAUGCGUAGAUAUAUGGAGGAACACCAGUGGCGAAGGCGGCUCUCUGGUCUGUAACUGACGCUGAGGCUCGAAAGCGUGGGGAGCAAACAGGAUUAGAUACCCUGGUAGUCCACGCCGUAAACGAUGAGUGCUAAGUGUUGGAGGGUUUCCGCCCUUCAGUGCUGCAGCUAACGCAUUAAGCACUCCGCCUGGGGAGUACGACCGCAAGGUUGAAACUCAAAGGAAUUGACGGGGGCCCGCACAAGCGGUGGAGCA